CACCUCUGCAGUCCUGGAGAGUUGCUGUAGAAGAAGGAAAAGAGAGGAAGACAACACAACACAGGAGGGGAUAAGUACCUCUGGACACAAUGGAAGUAGUAGUUGUUGAGCAGAGGGAAAGGGAUAGGAGAAGGAUGUGGACUGCAGUGCUGCAGUGCCAGGAGAACAGGAUGCGGGAAACCACCUCGGUGAUUCAGUUAUCUGCACCUGGCCCCACCCUUGACACAUGUUGAUUAUUACAAUUCAAGGUGAGAUUUGGGUAGGUACACAGCCAAACCAUAUCAGCUGCCCAUUCUCCUGUGCAGUGACAUAAAGGUCUGAUAACCUGAUUUAAAGCUUGGACUCUAAGAUUUUUUUUUUUCUUUUUUUGAGUCAGGUUAUCUCUGUCGCUCAAGCUGGAGUUCAGUGGCAUGAACAGGGCUCAUUGCAGCCUCAACCUUCCAGGUUCAAGUGAUUCUCUUGCCUCAACCUCCUGAGUAUCUGGGGCUACAGGCAUGUGCCACCGUGCCAGGCUAAUAUUUUUAUUUUUAUUUUUGUAAAGAUGGGGUCUCACUUCUGGGCUCAAGCAAUCUUUCCUCAGCCUCCCAAAGUGCUGGGAUUAUAGGUGCGAGCCACUGCACCCUGCUGUAAAGAAUUUCAUAUCCCUGUUUUCGGUGUGCUGUGUCACUGUUUGCCAUGGGUAAAGGUAUAUGAAUCUCUUUUAUUUUGCUGCUUGCAACCCAAUUCCCAUGCCAAACCCAAUUUGUAUCCAAACAAACAAUAUUGGAGACAAGUUCUUCUAUAGAAAGCUUCAUAAGCCAGUUACUGACUACUGUGUCUGUAAAUAUACUCAAACUAUUUUGUAGUCUUGCUAUUUUAAAAAAUGUGUGGGUGUGGGAAGUGAUGUUGAAUGAAUUCAGGGUAAUUGGUGGUUCUUUGUAUUAGGAAAACUCACUAGUUAAGGGAAGUCUGUUUUCAUGAUUCAUGUAUGUUUAACUUAAAAAAAAAUUCUUCCAUCCUUCUCUCCAGUUUCCACUCUACCUCAUAAAUUCAAGUAAUGAAGGAAUUUAAAUAAUAGAAUUUUAUAACUGAAAGGAUUUUGGAGAGAAUCUAUUAACCCUCCUACUACAGUUGAGGAAAUAGAUGUCCAGUGAGGUCAAAUGAGAUCAUGUAGCUAGUUUAAAAACCCAAAUAACAUUUUAGUAGUUUGUUUCCAUUAGUAAACACUGUUCUGUUUGAUUUGCCCUAACAUGUUCAUAAUCAGAGUCAUAAUAAGGAAAAAUCACUAAUAUGUGUGUGGUACUUUCUUGUGCAUACCUCAGUCACUUCUCAAAAGAGGUCUGUAAGGUGUCGGUAUCCUGGUUUCCAUUCAGGGAGAGAACAGUCUAUGAGCCUAAGAGACCUGUCUGUGCCAGUCACUAUCAGAACAGUCUAAUGCUAUGUGUCUUCCUACCUUGGCAAAAGCAUUGGCUGGUCUCUGGACAGUUCUCAUAGACCACAGGAUUGGGCAGGGGGGAGCCACAUCUUCAUGUUAGGGCUCUAACCUGUACCAAUUAUUAACUGUUGUCUCUAUUUCAUCAUUUCUUAAAGGGAAAAAAAAGCACUUUUUAAAGAGCAUGAGAUUUUAAAUUUUUCAAAAGAAGGAUGCUGGAUCAUUAUAAGUAAGGCAUGUUUUAAAGAUCUUCUUAUCAACAGCUUAAAAAUUAGCCAGUAUAUACUGAACAUCCACUGUAUAAAAAGCACAUUAUGGGGUGCUCCAGUAGGUACAGCAGUGAUCGAGACAGAAUCAUAGCCUUCAGGGAAGAGGUAUAUGCAAUGUUCUCUCCUUCCAAAGAUUACCUAGAUAGAGAACUGUUCAUAAGAAAUAUCUUGGUACUGUCUACAUUACUCUUGAGAUAUAAAAUAUAUAUUAUUUCUUACGUCUGAAAUGAGUCAGUUGUUUCUAAAACAAUUUGUAUUAAAGUAUUCACAUUAAAAAUUUGUAAAAUACAGAAAAGUAGAGAGAAAAAAUCAUGAAUUUUUAACAUGGUAAUGAUUAUAUCAGUUUCGUUCUUGGCGUUUCUUUAACUUGAUGGGAUAGCUAAUGUUUUUUGUCAUUGCAUAGCUUUGUAAACUUGUCCUAAGGAUUAUAUAAUUUCAGCAUGAGUUAGUUUCUAAGUAUGUCAGAAAUCUAGCUUUUUUGUGGUAAUUGUUGUUUUACACAAAAUGAUUAAUAAAAGACUCUAAAC
This 2207-nucleotide long non-coding RNA is filed under the name Homo sapiens (human). RNAcentral's name for it is "non-protein coding LINC00472:18". The record is from RNAcentral. Lineage: Eukaryota; Metazoa; Chordata; Mammalia; Primates; Hominidae.